This 992-nucleotide long non-coding RNA is filed under the name Homo sapiens (human). Its description in RNAcentral is "novel transcript". Lineage: Eukaryota; Metazoa; Chordata; Mammalia; Primates; Hominidae. The record is from RNAcentral.
GGCCUCGCCGCCCGGUCCGCUGUCGCAGCGCUCAUCCGCGCCGGGAGCCCUUGGCUGCGUCGCCCGGCAGCCGCGUAAAGACGCUGCGAAUUGACGCCUUUUAUAAUAAAGACACUUAUCUUGCCCAAGAGCUGGGGAGCAUUUCCUGAAGACGUAGUCAUGCAGCACGUCAGCAGCUCCCAGAGCAGCCAGCGCCAUGUCCAGUGGCCUGGGGCCUGCCCCGGCGCGGGCGAGGAGCAGCCAGCGUGCUCCCAGCCGUCCCUGCCCCUCACACUGCCAUCCCCCAGCCACCAACUACAGCAGCUGAUGCCCUUCCAGGACUGCCGUGCCCCCAGGCCUUUCCAGCCUCCCACUCACGUCUGUGGGGAACACGGGAAUGAAGAAGGUUCCCAAGAAGUUAGAGGAGAUUCCCCCAGCCUCUCCGGAGAUGGCACAGAUGAGGAAGCAGUGCCUGGACUAUCAUCACCAGGAGAUGCAGGCUCUGAAGGAGGUCUUCAAGGAGUAUUUGAUUGAACUGUUUUUCUUGCAACACUUUCAAGGGAACAUGAUGGAUUUCUUAGCUUUCAAGGAGAGACUGUAUGGACCAUUACAAGCAUAUCUUAGGCAGAAUGAUUUGGACAUUGAAGAAGAGGAAGAGGAGCACUUUGAAGUCAUUAAUGAUGAGGUAAAGGUUGUGGCCAGAAAGCACGGGCAGCCUGGGACUCCUGUUGCCAUAGCAACCCAGCUACCGCCGAGGACUUCUGCGGCUUUUCCAGCCCAGCAGCAGCCGCUCCAGGUACUUUCUGAUGGCUCCACAGUGCAGCUCCCCAGACUUUCCUCACUCGGAUUUGAGGACUCGAUGUGCUGAGGCAGGACCCAGAGGGGUCCCAAGAGCCUGUCCUCUUUUGUUCAAAAUACAUCUUGAAACGUCUUUGUGAAGGCUCUUAGUUUUAAUGCAUGGAUGCUGUUAUUUUUCCCUACUGUUACUGAAAUUAAAAAGUGUUUGUCUCUGA